GGAGUGUUGAAAGUUAACGGUGUAGUACUGGGAAAAUUUACCGGCAGACCGGCAAUUAAAUCGUCUGGAGCAAAUGUUUCACCUGCAAAAUAAAGAACGCAAUUAUAACAAUAUCCACAAUUCCUGAUUCUUAGAAAAAUGCCUCAUACAAUGAAACAGGUGCAUUAAGUUCGAGAACUGCUUGUUUCUACGCUGAAAUCCAUGCAUAUAUUCGGUAAUAGGAGUUAUAAGCAUUUUAUAAGAUACUUAGUACAGAAAACAUGCUGAAGAAGUCGAAACAUGAAAACCAAACAAAACUAAAUAAUUCUGAAAAAUGGAAUUUGAACAACUGGGCAGUCGUCGUAGCAUCAACGCUCCUCGAGGGUCAUAAAUCACAAAUCUGCAG
This is a long non-coding RNA of Anastrepha ludens (Mexican fruit fly), 385 nucleotides long. RefSeq lists it as uncharacterized. The record is from RefSeq and is a predicted model, not a curated record. Lineage: Eukaryota; Metazoa; Arthropoda; Insecta; Diptera; Tephritidae. The transcript has 3 exons.